UACAGAGGUCUCAAGCGUUGUUCGGAUUCAUUGGGCGUAAAGGGCGCGUAGGCGGGGAGGUAAGUCGGGUGUGAAAUCCCUCGGCCCAACCGAGGAACUGCGCCCGAGACUGCUUCUCUUGAGUCCCGGAGAGGAAGGUGGAAUUCCCGGUGUAGCGGUGAAAUGUGUAGAGAUCGGGAGGAACACCGGUGGCGAAGGCGGCGACCUGGUCCGAUACUGACGCUGAGGCGCGAAAGCGUGGGGAGCAAACAGG
Molecule: ribosomal RNA, 253 nt
Filed under: uncultured bacterium
Lineage: Bacteria
Description: partial 16S ribosomal RNA
Rfam family: Bacterial small subunit ribosomal RNA
Source: RNAcentral